AUUAUUUUUUUUAAAAUUAUAAAAAAGAAUCCUUUAUUGCAAAAAAUUUUGCAAAUUGUGUUUUAAAAAAACCGAAACCACCAAAUUAUAUUGUUCGCGGAUAAUUUAAAAAAUUAUCCAAUUUUUCCCAUAUGGACGAAAACUGGUUUUGAAUAUAAUACGAAAAAUUCAAAUAACGUAUUACAAUAUAUUUUAAAUUGGGCAAAACGCGCAAAAUUUGUAAAUAAUAUUGGCGGUUUUUAUAACGUACGAAAAAAAACCUUUAUUAAAACCAACGGUAAAAAAUUAACGUUUUACCAUUUCCAUAUUAUAUUAAUUUUAUUAUAGGAAAUAAUAGUUAAUCGGUCGAACAAUUCCAAUUUUUUGCGGAUUAUAAAAAUUUAUUAAUUUUUUAAAAAUAUUAUUUGGGUGCAAUAAAUAUAAUGGAUGGCGUGGUAAAUUAUUUGGGAAUGGAUAUUAAACGUAAUUUUAUUAAAAAUUUCCGAUCGGUAACGAUAAAAUGGGAUAGCGAUUUGGUUUUGCAAUUUCCGGUACGGGAAAUCGACCAAUUAAAAUAAAACGAGGAAUAUAUUCGAUUAAAAAAAGAUAUUUUUACAUUUAAUAUUUUUAUCGACGGCGUUUUUUUUAAAAAAAAGAAAUACGAAUAAUAUAUAACCGUUCGCAAACAGGCGUACGAAAAUCGUCGAAAAUUCGUAAAAUAAAAAUUUCAAAAAUACCGGCAAUAUGCAAUUAAUUAGCAAAACGAUUGGUACCGGGACCACCUUUUUCGCGUAAUUUAUAUAAUAUUUGAACGCCACCGGCUAUUCCGCAUUUUGGCUUAAAAAAAACCGUUUCGAAAUCCAACAGGCAUUUUAACGUUGGAAAAUUUUAUUGUUUUUCGCACAGGGGAUUGGCAGGUCGCAUACCAAUUUCAACUAAAGUUUAAAAACGGUAUAUACCCCGUAAAAUUCUGCAAUAAAAUAAUUGAAAAAUAAUUGUAAAAUAUAAUAUGCCAACAAUAUACGCUAAUUACCCCAAAAUACGUUAUUAAUUAUUUAUAUUGGUUUUUAAUUUCCACGUUUCGCAAAAAUGGUUGCAUAUAUAUCGAUAUUUUAAAAAACGUUUUAAAACCGAUUAUAAAUUCGCCAAAUUUUGUUUCCUAUAUAACUAUUAGGUUACAAAUAAGCAAAAAUGGGAAUAUUAUUGCCAAAAAUAUAUUAACGACGGGGAUAUACCAUUUCGAUAUAAUCCUGUUAUUUUCCGGCACGUUUAUAUAUAUAUUAGAUAUUAUUUUAUUUAUUUA
RNAcentral lists this small RNA (1282 nucleotides) under Pyricularia oryzae. RNAcentral describes it as "Magnaporthe oryzae sRNA M_BR32_EuGene_00097971". The record is from RNAcentral. Lineage: Eukaryota; Fungi; Ascomycota; Sordariomycetes; Magnaporthales; Pyriculariaceae.